AGGCAACAAGACUGAGAUAUCCAAAUCUGAGCUCAUACAGAAGAGUGCAUACUGUAGGGUUUCAGGACGGGACAUGGAUCUUGUUGAACUUUCUGCCUAUGGAAAUGUCCGGCGAGGGCCAGAUUCAGGGGGCUGCAAAAUCCAAUGAAGUAGAUAUAUCUGAAUGGCGUCAAAGUUCGAAGUAGUUUCCUGAGGCUCAAUGGAGAAAGCUUGAUUCAUUGUUCUGUCAAAUAUCUCCAAUCAUGUUUAUACUAUGUAGCUUAACACUUCAAGUGAUUUACCCCAGAAAAUAAAUCGUGAUAUAUUUGAAUCAA
Zea mays is the source of this 314-nucleotide long non-coding RNA. RefSeq lists it as uncharacterized. The transcript has 2 exons. NCBI's taxonomy places the organism in Eukaryota, Viridiplantae, Streptophyta, Magnoliopsida, Poales, Poaceae. The record is from RefSeq and is marked validated.